AUCAUUUUUUUUAGAUUAUGCAUAUAAGCGAUAUCAUAUGAUAUUUGUCUUUGGUGUAUGUUUAGUUUUUAAAGAAACUGCUAUUCCUUUUUCAAAACAGAUGUUCCAUUUAAUAUUCUCACCAACAAUGCAUGAGAGUUCCAGUUGCUCCACAUCCUAGCUUGCAUUUAGCGUUGUCAUCCUGACAAGUCGGUGUCACGACAAAGACAGACCUGGGGAUAUAUGCAGACAUUGGCACACACGGAUAAACCUAGGCAUGAGGAACAAAGGUGGAACAAGGUGGGAAAAAAAAAAUAAAGAAAAAGGAAACUUCAAGGAGAGCCAUGCGUUGAAGAGUGUGAAACCCAAGGCACCUCAGAGCCAUCAUCGUGAAUUUCAAUUAUCAUCAUGUAUUAACCCCUCAGAAGCCAGAGUUUGACCAUCUAAUAACCUUCCCUUUAUCUGCAACCUACCUGGAAUCCAGGAAGUCUGCAAGAAGCUGAAGUAAAUGUGACAUAGACUGUGCAUAUUUUAACCAUAGGGGAUGUCCUCAUUAAGAACUUAGUUGAUUUUUAUUUUACACACAAUUCUAACAAGUGGGUUUUCUGGGUUCCAAAGCCACAGCAAAUGGGAAGCAACAAUUCAGAAAGGGAGGAGGAAUGGGGUUAUAUGACAAUAAUUAAAAGUAACAGGGGACAGCACAACUGUAGAGGAGAAGACCAAAAAAACUGAGGGAAAAAAGACAUAAAAACUAAAAACUAAAUAAAAAGUGAAAGGAAGGAAGGACGAAAGGAAAGAAAGAAUGAAAGAAGUCUAGAGUUGUUAGUUGUGGACAAACUGUCUUGCAUGCCUUAGUAGCUCUUGAGGUCAUCAUUGUGUUUAUAGUGAGACGCUAUGCUUAAGAAGCCAAGGAAGUGCAUCACAUUAGAUUUCUAGCCUACAGGGUUAAGAUUUUUUUUAAAGUUUUGGUACUUAAGAAAUAAAUCUUCAGUUUUUUGGGGAAAAUGUCUAUUCAAGAUGGUUCUUAUAAAGGUUCUUAUAACCAUGGUUUUAUUGUAGUGUAGUUCUGUGGACGUGUUAGUUAAUAUAGAUUUCAGGUUGAAAAAAUAUCUGACAUACGAGCUUUUGCUGAGACUGCUUCAUUUCACAAGAUAUUUAAUUCUGGGUUUGAACGAAGUCAUUGGAAGUGACACUUUUCGUAUCUGAAUUGUCAUGAUGCUAUUCUUGACAAGGAAUGAGUUCUUGAAUAUUUAGAAUAUUGUAGGUGAUAAAAAUGUCCUUAAUAAAUACGUUAUAAAGUUUGGCUUUCACAUUUUUAACUUUAAUUUUCAUGCUUGUCUCUUAAAAGCAAAUAAUCUUUUUCUAGGCAUAAGGUGCCCCCAAAAGUUACUUGGUUGUCUGAACUGUAUGUCUUUACUUCCUCCAGAUGGGAAUGAGAAUGAAUAAAAUACUGUUUGAUCAGUUUGGAAAAUG
This is a long non-coding RNA of Aethalodelphis obliquidens (Pacific white-sided dolphin), 1452 nucleotides long. RefSeq lists it as uncharacterized. The record is from RefSeq and is a predicted model, not a curated record. The transcript is spliced from 3 exons. Lineage: Eukaryota; Metazoa; Chordata; Mammalia; Artiodactyla; Delphinidae.